Molecule: long non-coding RNA, 289 nt
Filed under: Lathyrus oleraceus (garden pea)
Lineage: Eukaryota; Viridiplantae; Streptophyta; Magnoliopsida; Fabales; Fabaceae
Description: Pisum sativum (pea) long non-coding RNA (PSAT_LNC001445)
Source: RNAcentral
UAAGGCAAAAUUUAGCGCUAUGUUAAGCAAUCGUAAUUGGACUUAUGUAGAAGUCACAACUAUCUGAGGCCGGUCAAUAAUAAUGUAGGCAACUAACACAAGUUAGGAGUCUUGAUUAGUGAACCAAGUCCCAACAACUUGCCAUGCCAAAAAGAAGAAGAGAAUUAAUCUUGUAUUGGUUUAAGCCUUUUACAUGAUUUAGGAAACAACCUAUCCUUAAUGCAAAGCCAUUCACUUGAUCAAUUGAUCAAGAUGAAUUAGAUUUGGAUCAAGGAAGAUUAAGUCUCCC